CUAGGGAAGAGCUAGCAGGUUUGGAGAGUUUCAAAGGCACAAGUCCAGACAGAGGAGAGCAGAGCGCGAUCUGAUGUGCGUCCUAGGAACAGAUGGACGCGGGACUCAGUCUGCUUAGUGUCUGUCCAGCACGUUCUGGCUGCUGCCCCAGGAGCUGAAGAUGGUCCCUGAUGGACACAGCCUCAGCCUGCCUUGGACACUCCAGGGAGGACCGCAGUGGCCUCAGAGCCACCCCGCAUCUCCCGCCUUCUGGGGUACCAGGGAUCGAACUCAUGACCACACACUUGCAAGGCAGGCGCUUAUGCUGCUGAGCUAAAUCCCCAGGCCCUAGGCAGCCCGUAUUUAUCAGAACAAGCGAGGAGCUGAGUGGACAAUGCAGGAAACCUGAGCAGGACCUUGGGAGGGGUUCAAGGACCCCUCAGAGCGACAGACGAUGCUAAUUAAGGAAAACCAUCCCGGAAGUCUCCAGGCGGCCUCAGCUGUGGCCUACCUGGCCACACCCCCUACCUGGAGACACCCCCUGAGGUGUCUUCUUGUUCUCAGUUCAGCCACGCCCGGGCCAUGCCACAGCCCUGCACGUGUAUUCAGCUUCCACGGCUCUAACACGCUGAGCCGAUGAAGCCCAGUCCAGGCAGUCACGGUGCAGAUAAGUGACAGGCAGGGAAGCCUGCCUAAGAAGGAAGCUGCGAUUGGCAGAUUCAGAGCAGAACAAUGAAGAGAGAUUCAUGGUCUCCUUUGAGGGCUUGAUCCAGCCAGGCCUGAAGCUUAAUUCCUCACCUUUCUUGUCACGUGAGUCAAUAAAUCCUGUCUCACUUAAA
Cavia porcellus (domestic guinea pig) is the source of this 818-nucleotide long non-coding RNA. RefSeq lists it as uncharacterized. Lineage: Eukaryota; Metazoa; Chordata; Mammalia; Rodentia; Caviidae. The transcript has 2 exons. The record is from RefSeq and is a predicted model, not a curated record.